CAGCGACCCGGCCUGCGUGCAGGCCCGCGCCUCGUGGCGCGAGUAUGUCAGCGACGGCGCGGGUUCGAGCCUCGCGGCGCUGG
Molecule: transfer RNA, 83 nt
Filed under: Achromobacter sp. 2789STDY5608628
Lineage: Bacteria; Pseudomonadati; Pseudomonadota; Betaproteobacteria; Burkholderiales; Alcaligenaceae
Also listed under: 2 other names
Description: tRNA-???(cg)
Source: RNAcentral